Solanum lycopersicum (tomato) is the source of this 834-nucleotide RNA transcript. RefSeq lists it as uncharacterized. The record is from RefSeq and is a predicted model, not a curated record. NCBI's taxonomy places the organism in Eukaryota, Viridiplantae, Streptophyta, Magnoliopsida, Solanales, Solanaceae.
UUAAUAAAAAAGAGUAUAAUUUUCCCUUAAACUCCCUAUCAUUUUUUUUAUUUUUUAUACUUUAAAUUAUUUAGAUAGAAACAAUCACUUUUUGAAGUCCUUAUCUAACUUAAACUUUUUUUUUUCAACCUUUUAUUUAGAUUAAAAACAUCAAAAAGAAAACAAAUAGAAGCAAAAACGUUUCAUUCACGACAGAGAGAAAAACAAUUUUCUUUAUCCUUUCCUUCAUCCACGAUAGACAGAAAAAAAUUAUUCUCUACCGAAAACAAAAACUAAGCAUCUUUAAUUAUUUUGCCAACAAAUAAUAAAAGACACUUCAUCGUCAGAAUACCAAGUACAAGAAUUAAAGAUCACUUGAUACUUGGGACAAUACUUUGAAAGAUUUCGAGUGUUUAGGAAUGAACGUUGGAUUUUUAUGUACAAGGAUAAGUAAGCUUGAUAGUUUAUCAAGUGAAUCGAAAGACGUUCUUGAAUCAAAGAAAGUUGAGCUAGCUGAAGCAAAAGAGGAAAUGAGGAUUAUUGAAGAAAAGGUAUUAAAAGUGAAACAAGUGAUGAAGAAUGUAGAAUCUGAAAUUCGGGCUUUAACAAAGAAAGAUGCAUACUUUGAGCUCAAUUUCAAGGCAUUGACUGCUUCUCCAUGGUAGAAAAAAAUUGGUUAUAAUUAUUUAUUGAAGAAGCCUUUUGAGAUUCCUAGCAGGGAUAUAUAACUCUUUCUGCUAAUUUUUUGUGAGGUUAUAUGAGCCAUCAUAUCCUUUUUCUAGUGUAAUUGGCUAAACUUUUUGUAAAUGUUCGAAAUUAAAUAUUUAUUUAUAUCGGAUCGUAUGUUCAUUAGGA